This 497-nucleotide ribosomal RNA is filed under the name uncultured bacterium. RNAcentral describes it as "partial 16S ribosomal RNA". It matches the Rfam family "Bacterial small subunit ribosomal RNA", at positions 28 to 507 of the family's 1533-position model. The record is from RNAcentral.
GAUGAACGCUGGCGGCGUGCCUAAUACAUGCAAGUCGAGCGAACGGACGAGAAGCUUGCUUCUCUGAUGUUAGCGGCGGACGGGUGAGUAACACGUGGAUAACCUACCUAUAAGACUGGGAUAACUUCGGGAAACCGGAGCUAAUACCGGAUAAUAUUUUGAACCGCAUGGUUCAAAAGUGAAAGACGGUCUUGCUGUCACUUAUAGAUGGAUCCGCGCUGCAUUAGCUAGUUGGUAAGGUAACGGCUUACCAAGGCAACGAUGCAUAGCCGACCUGAGAGGGUGAUCGGCCACACUGGAACUGAGACACGGUCCAGACUCCUACGGGAGGCAGCAGUAGGGAAUCUUCCGCAAUGGGCGAAAGCCUGACGGAGCAACGCCGCGUGAGUGAUGAAGGCCUCCGGAUCGUAAAACUCUGUUAUUAGGGAAGAACAUAUGUGUAAGUAACUGUGCACAUCUUGACGGUACCUAAUCAGAAAGCCACGGCUAACUACGUG